CACCCUUGCCUCCAUUAUGAGGAAGCAGGCUCUGCACGUCUCAGCAAAGACCCUCUGUGUUUGAAAUCUCACACAACAGACGUCCCAUACCUGAACACGGAGGAGCCACGCUGAGCUAUAUCUAGUACUGUUGGUGCACUACAGGAGCAGCUGUUACCUGAAAGAGGCUGAAAAGGGUUUGAGAGAAGACUUGAUCCUUUUGACGUCCAAUGCUCUGUAGCAACGAGCUACUGGCAGAUUGACCCGCGAUAAGACCACCAAUACACCAACAGCCCAUCACAUCUGAAGCAGUAUCUUCACUCAUAUCCGAGGCCCUGUGUCCGAGAAGUGAAACCCACAGAGUUCCCUCCGUUCAUGAUGUACGGUGUCCAGGAAUCCGGUCGGUCUCCGUACAGCAGUGAGUACUUGGUGACCCAGUCGUACGAGUUGAAGACCCCCUGGGUGGCGACGGC
Molecule: long non-coding RNA, 452 nt
Organism: Pleuronectes platessa (European plaice)
Lineage: Eukaryota; Metazoa; Chordata; Actinopteri; Pleuronectiformes; Pleuronectidae
Exons: 4
Source: RefSeq, a predicted model, not a curated record